RNAcentral lists this ribosomal RNA (395 nucleotides) under uncultured bacterium. Its description in RNAcentral is "bacterial SSU rRNA". It matches the Rfam family "Bacterial small subunit ribosomal RNA", at positions 28 to 409 of the family's 1533-position model. The record is from RNAcentral.
GAUGAACGCUAGCUACAGGCUUAACACAUGCAAGUCGAGGGGCAGCAUGAACAAAGCUUGCUUUGUUUGAUGGCGACCGGCGCACGGGUGCGUAACACGUAUCCAAUCUGCCCGCGGCUCGGGGAUAGCCCAUCGAAAGAUGGAUUAAUACCCGAUGGUGUGGUUUCUCCGCAUGGGGUUUCCACUAAAAGGUUUUCCGGCCGCGGAUGAGGAUGCGUAUGAUUAGGUAGUAGGCGGGGUAACGGCCCACCUAGCCUUCGAUCAUUAGGGGUUCUGAGAGGAAGGUCCCCCCANACUGGAACUGAGACACGGUCCAGACUCCUACGGGAGCAGCAGUGAGGAAUAUUGGGUCCAAAUGGGGCGAGAGCCUGAACCAGCCAAGUAGCGUGAAGGAA